GAGUUUGAUCAUGGCUCAGAACGAACGCUGGCGGCAUGCCUAACACAGCAAGUCGAACGAGACCUUCGGGUCUAGUGGCGCACGGGUGCGUAACGCGUGGGAACCUGCCUUUAGGUUCGGGAUAACAGUUGGAAACGACUGCUAAUACCGAAUAAUGUCUUCGGACCAAAGAUUUAUCGCCUUUAGAUGGGCCCGCGUUGGAUUAGGUAGUUGGUGGGGUAAAGGCCUACCAAGCCGACGAUCCAUAGCUGGUCUGAGAGGAUGAUCAGCCACACUGGGACUGAGACACGGCCCAGACUCCUACGGGAGGCAGCAGUGGGGAAUAUUGGACAAUGGGCGAGAGCCUGAUCCAGCAAUGCCGCGUGAGUGAUGAAGGCCUUAGGGUUGUAAAGCUCUUUUACUGGGGAUGAUAAUGACAGUACCCAGAGAAUAAGCUCCGGCUAACUCCGUGCCAGCAGCCGCGGUAAUAC
This 470-nucleotide ribosomal RNA is filed under the name uncultured bacterium. Its description in RNAcentral is "bacterial SSU rRNA". It matches the Rfam family "Bacterial small subunit ribosomal RNA", at positions 9 to 526 of the family's 1533-position model. The record is from RNAcentral.